Molecule: ribosomal RNA, 497 nt
Filed under: uncultured bacterium
Lineage: Bacteria
Description: partial 16S ribosomal RNA
Rfam family: Bacterial small subunit ribosomal RNA
Source: RNAcentral
GAUGAACGCUGGCGGCGUGCCUAAUACAUGCAAGUCGAGCGAACAGACGAGGAGCUUGCUUCUCUGACGUUAGCGGCGGACGGGUGAGUAACACGUGGAUAACCUACCUAUAAGACUGGGAUAACUUCGGGAAACCGGAGCUAAUACCGGAUAACAUGUUGAACCGCAUGGUUCAACAGUGAAAGACGGUCUUGCUGUCACUUAUAGAUGGAUCCGCGCCGCAUUAGCUAGUUGGUAAGGUAACGGCUUACCAAGGCAACGAUGCGUAGCCGACCUGAGAGGGUGAUCGGCCACACUGGAACUGAGACACGGUCCAGACUCCUACGGGAGGCAGCAGUAGGGAAUCUUCCGCAAUGGGCGAAAGCCUGACGGAGCAACGCCGCGUGAGUGAAGAAGGUCUUCGGAUCGUAAAACUCUGUUAUUAGGGAAGAACAAAUGUGUAAGUAACUAUGCACGUCUUGACGGUACCUAAUCAGAAAGCCACGGCUAACUACGUG